This 76-nucleotide transfer RNA is filed under the name Chloroflexota bacterium. RNAcentral describes it as "Chloroflexi bacterium (freshwater metagenome) tRNA-Arg". It matches the Rfam family "tRNA". Rfam says of the family: Transfer RNA (tRNA) molecules are approximately 80 nucleotides in length. Lineage: Bacteria; Bacillati; Chloroflexota. The record is from RNAcentral.
GCCCCUGUAGCUCAGAGGAUAGAGCAGCGGUUUCCUAAACCGCGUGUCGUGCGUUCGAGUCGCACCAGGGGUACAA